Molecule: long non-coding RNA, 1811 nt
Filed under: Homo sapiens (human)
Lineage: Eukaryota; Metazoa; Chordata; Mammalia; Primates; Hominidae
Description: HSALNT0136992
Source: RNAcentral
GGAGGAGCUUGGGGGCUGAUCCAAACUGUGUAUGGGAGUGGCAGGGGUCCAUAGAGAGAAUCAAAAACCUAACAAAUCAAGUUAUUAAGUUACUUUUGGAAGGAUAAACAUAUCUUUCAAUAAAGGUCUAGGACUCAGAUAAAACCCAGAGAUGAAGAGGUAAAAUCAAUUGUUGAGAAUAAAUGAAACAUGUAUCGACCCACACACUACAGCCAUCUGUGAUGUCUAAUCCUCAUGGUAAUCACGGUAGGAUGGUAUUUUGAUCCCCCUUUGAUAAGAGAGGGUAUCUAAGUCAGAAAGGGUCAGUGGCUCGCCCAAGUCCACAUGGUAAAUGAAUGACAAAGCCACGCAUCCAUCCAUUCGUCCUGCCUCCAAAUCCUACCCAUGUUUUCCCACAGAAUCUGGACUGCACUGAAACCUGGAAAACAACAGACGCUGUUGGAUCGGGAAAUAUCUGACGGCAAACAGCACCAGGAGAGUAUUCAGAUGGGCAUGAAUUGGUUCUGAUUGCUGUUUUUAAGAUGUGGCCUGACUGUCAAGCCUUCAGAGAACAGGCAGCCUCUUCUGGGGGAAGCCUUCAACCCUGUGCAUCCCACAAUCUGGAGACACUGUUGGCUGACUGUGACUUACCACCAGACAAAUGCCCACCAGAGGACAGUCUCCUUGGCAUCUGUGUAACCUCAAAGCCCAGCACGGUGUCCAACACUCAGUGGUUUCUACAAUGCAUGUUUAACUGAGCAGAGCUGAACUAGUGCUCCCAGGGAACUGACUGAUGGAAGUCUGUCUUAAAAGCUGAGCUCUAUAAUUUUGCAGCUGUUUGCCCUUGGAGACGUCAUUUAACUUCUCUGUCUGGGACUCUGGCAAUAUAAGGAAAGUGCCAUAAUAUUAAUCUGAACAAGUGCCCAGGCAACUCUUAAGUUUAACAGCAGUAUCAUAUCGCCAUUUAGUGUGCACACUUCAUUCUCUUAUAUACCUGAGAGAGAUUAUUUUAAAAUCUCUCAUGUUAAUCAAACCACAUUUCCUGAUCUAGAUAAAAAAGGUUUCAGAGUUUAAUUACACAAAAAGUAGGUAAUGUUGCAUGAAGAUUUACAAAGAAGCCAAGAUUUUUUUUUUCUUUUUAAAGUAUGACUAGGUAAUAAUAGAUAUAAGCAUAUUUUUCUCAUUCCUAAUACAUGUUUUAUUUGGAUGGUGUGCUGUGAUAUUUGAGGAUUUGGGACACACUCUUUUAGUGUAGGUUGCAAGAAAACUGUGAAACACAGACGCCAACAGUAGGUGAAGUCAGAAGAUCUUCUGUGUUAAUUUCUGAAAUGUCUAGCAGUGGGCCAUUCUUUGACGGUAGCCUGAUAUCUGAUAAAGAUAACAUUCUGCCACUGGCCAUGUGAGGAGCAAUUCCCAGCCAGGGGAAGGACUCCAAGUCCCCAAAUCUUUCUUAAAAUUUUAGAUUGAGAAUUGACAGAAAACAUAUAAACUCAGAUAAAUAGGCAAAGGUAUUGAACAGACUAUUCAUAACUGUACUUAUGACCACAAUAAAAAUAGAAGCAAUAUAAAUUUGGGUAAAAUAAUUAGAUAUGUAUUUGGGGCCUAUGAAAUCACAAACUACAUCUAAAAUUUAAUUAGAAUGAUAGGUGAUUUUUGUUUUCUUAUUUGCAUUUGUCACAUUUUAAAAAAUACUGCAUAGGUAUUACUUUUAUAACCACCCAAUAGUAUUUGAGAAUAUGCUCUAAAACAAAUGAGCCCAGUUCAUUUUAUUCAUGUUCAGGAAGCUAAAGUCAGCCAGUGGAAACAGUGCAGUGAGGUGGCUGUGACUGGUU